CUUUCCCUAAACGACAGCUCUUUCAACAUGCCUAGCUGACUCUUGAGUUGAAGCCAAGUAAAUAACAAGGUUAAGGUCUUUUAUUCAAAGAUGAAUAUCAACCACCACACUGUACACCGUCAAUAUAUACAAAUUUUAAUUGUCAAAUAUACCUCAAUAAAGCUGAGGCAGGGGGAGAGGGGAAAAAAAAAGAAACCCAAGUAAAAGCUGAAAGGCCAAGUUAAUGUUAAUUUGUUGCCAUAGGCUAUGUCUCCAACUCCAGCCAGUCAUUUCAUAAAUGUCAUGAAUCACACAAGUGACUUCAUUAAGAAGUACUGAAUAAUCUAAUGAAAUCCAUAAUAAGAGUGUAUGCCCUACUAUCAUUUCAUCUUUCUGUACACAGCAAAACGUAUUUACUUGUCUUAUCUCUGUAUGUUGCCUACAGCAUCUCCUACUUUCUCCAAAUAACUCUGCUCAAAGGGUU
Non-coding RNA from Vicugna pacos (alpaca), 463 nucleotides. The record is from RefSeq and is a predicted model, not a curated record. NCBI's taxonomy places the organism in Eukaryota, Metazoa, Chordata, Mammalia, Artiodactyla, Camelidae.